CCUACCCAGCCGUAUGCAUCAUGUGUUGAGAAAUUUUGUGCUUAACUAUUGCAGUAUGAUUACUGAGCACCUGCUAUUUUCUGGGAACUGUUAGUAUGCUUGGCAAUAGAUAAAGAUGAGUAAGAGAUCACGUUGCCCUUGAGGCACUCCUGGAUCGAAGAUGACCACAGAGAACUACUACAGUGUAGUGCAGUGUUUAUAAAUAUACAGAAGCUUUUUUGUUAAUUCAGUCAGCGUUUUCUAAGCAGCCAUAUCCACUAAAGUGCUGGGAACAGAGGGUUAGAAGCCUUGUCAACAGGAAGUGAAUUCUUCCUAUCAAAUACAGUCUUCUAUUGAUUGUCUCCUUGCAAGAAGCAGAUGGCUUCCAAACACCGCAGAGGACACUGAGGCCGACGCACCAAAAGCCGCCUUUGCACUUAAACUGUGUGAAGCUCAAGGGGACUCAGCAGAAGACUGAGGUGAGGCAUCUGCAAAUAAUGACCCACCUCAGGAAAGAGUAGGUAAGCAAGUCAGAGAUCUGUCCUGUGCCUACCCCCAGUCCUCACCUUUCCCAAGACCCCUCACAGUGAAAAUACCUGACACACUAGGGGGCCAGGAGCUCACCUCUACCAUCACCCAUGAACUUCUGGGGGAGCCCAGUCUUCCCCCGGCCCCCACUGUGAAUGAGUCAACUCUUUUUCUGGUUUAUAAGUCCCACUCCUCAGCAUGACCGGCGCACUGUGCUCCUAAAGCCUUACUUUUCACCUCUCAGGGUCUCCUAACGGUGGCAAGGAGGUGUCGCUGAGUGCCACCGAUGGACCAAAUGCUCCAAACAUCCUCAUCUUCCCCCCGCCCCCUUGUCUUCUCUUUGGACUGUCCUUAGAAAACAAGCCAUAAAGCACUUUUUUUCCCUUAAUUUCUUUCCUCAAACUUACCUCUAUUUUUUUUUUUUUUCUUAAGGCUUCAUGGGGCCAGGGCUUCUAAAACUCGUCUGGACCUUUAAUAUGAUCUUCAAGAAUUGUGUAGAACUUACCAG
This is a long non-coding RNA of Lontra canadensis (Northern American river otter), 1015 nucleotides long. RefSeq lists it as uncharacterized. NCBI's taxonomy places the organism in Eukaryota, Metazoa, Chordata, Mammalia, Carnivora, Mustelidae. The record is from RefSeq and is a predicted model, not a curated record. The transcript has 3 exons.